Molecule: unclassified non-coding RNA, 256 nt
Filed under: Hevea brasiliensis (rubber tree)
Lineage: Eukaryota; Viridiplantae; Streptophyta; Magnoliopsida; Malpighiales; Euphorbiaceae
Source: RNAcentral
AGGUCGUCUGAGGUCCUCUCUGUCUUGUUAUGUCUUUUACGUCGUGUCAUCAUCCGUGGAGGUUGAAACAAGUAACGAGCCAGUUUUGAGAAUUUAAGGACUAUAAAGUGCAGAUAUUUGUGUUUAAAUAUAGGAAGUAAAAGUAAAAAGUUGUCAGGAAAAUUCUUCUCUGAUUAUACAAACUGGGACAUUUUGAAAUUGCAGUUGGUCUCCUGAUUGCUCCUGGCUGAGUCAUAUAGUUUAUGUAUUAAUCUCU